This 74-nucleotide transfer RNA is filed under the name Colletotrichum spaethianum. RNAcentral's name for it is "tRNA-Ile". It matches the Rfam family "tRNA". Rfam says of the family: Transfer RNA (tRNA) molecules are approximately 80 nucleotides in length. Their secondary structure includes four short double-helical elements and three loops (D, anti-codon, and T loops). Lineage: Eukaryota; Fungi; Ascomycota; Sordariomycetes; Glomerellales; Glomerellaceae. The record is from RNAcentral. RNAcentral also lists the same sequence under 3 other names.
GGUCGGUUAGCUCAGUUGGUUAGAGCGUGGUACUAAUAAUGCCAAGGUCGGGAGUUCAAGCCUCCCACUGAUCA